AUUGAACGCUGGCGGCAUGCCUUACACAUGCGAGUCGAACGGCAGCAUGGAGAGCUUGCUCUCUGAUGGCGAGUGGCGAACGGGUGAGCAAUGCAUCGGAACGUACCGUGUAAUGGGGGAUAACGUAGCGAAAGUUACGCUAAUACCGCAUACGACCUGAGGGUGAAAGCAGGGGAUCGCAAGACCUUGCGUUAUACGAGCGGCCGAUGUCAGAUUAGCUAGUUGGUGAGGUAAAGGCUCACCAAGGCGACGAUCUGUAGCUGGUCUGAGAGGACGAUCAGCCACACUGGGACUGAGACACGGCCCAGACUCCUACGGGAGGCAGCAGUGGGGAAUCUUGCGCAAUGGGCGGAAGCCUGACGCAGCGACGCCGCGUGCGGGAAGAAGGCCUUCGGGUUGUAAACCGCUUUCAGGAGGGACGAAGCUACUCGGGUGAAUAGCCCAGAGGGUGACGGUACCUCCAGAAGAAGCCCCGGCUAACUACGUGCCAGCCGCCGCGGUAA
RNAcentral lists this ribosomal RNA (503 nucleotides) under uncultured bacterium. RNAcentral's name for it is "partial 16S ribosomal RNA". It matches the Rfam family "Bacterial small subunit ribosomal RNA", at positions 29 to 523 of the family's 1533-position model. The record is from RNAcentral.